Molecule: long non-coding RNA, 570 nt
Organism: Juglans microcarpa x Juglans regia
Lineage: Eukaryota; Viridiplantae; Streptophyta; Magnoliopsida; Fagales; Juglandaceae
Exons: 2
Source: RefSeq, a predicted model, not a curated record
CCUUCUUCUACAAGGCAAAAAGGAGUUUGAAAGAGACAUUGCACCAAGAGCAAAAUGUGAUACGCAUGAUUAGUCUGCAAGGGAAUGUAAUGUUAAAAUGUCUCUCUGGAAACUGUGACCUAAAAAUGUUCUUCACCCUUGUCUAAGCAAAACCAACAGCCUCCCUCGUCUUAAAUUCCUCCCAAUUGUUUUUAACCCACAUGAGACUCCACACCCACUUCUCCUAAAUGGGGUGGCUUCAAUCCCUCCUCUCUCCAGUGAAGAAGCUCUGGUUUCGCCUGCAUUCAGCUGAAAGAAAGAGAAGAGGGAUAUACAUUUUGUAUGAGGAUGUCAAAUCCUGCCCCUAUGAAGAUGUGCAUGUCCUUUGGUCAAUACUAGUGGAAUCUAAUGCACCUUUGCAACCAAAAAAAUGAGGGCUCCAAUGCACAGAGUUGACAGAAUAUGAGAAAUUUCCAGUUAUUUACACUUCUUAUUUUCUGUCAAGUUCCAGCUAUGUACAUAAAAAUAUUUAUGACAUCUUCACUCAUAUAAAAAAAAAAAAAAAAAAAUUUAAUAUUUUCUUUUUGUGUA